UUUUUUUUUUUUUUUUGAGACAGAGUCUCAUUCUGUUGCCCAUGCUGGAAUGCAGUGGCCCAGUCUUGGCUCACUACAACCUCCAUUGCCUCCCGAGUAGCUGGGAUUAUAGGCAUGUGCCUGUAAUCCCAGGCACAUGCCACUACAUCGGCUAAUUUUUAUAUUUUUAGUAGAGACAGUUUCACCACCAUGUUGGCCAGACUAGUCUUGAACUCCUGACCUCAAGUGAUCUGCCCACCUCGGCCUCCCAAAGUGCUGAGAUUACAAGCUUGAGCCAUCAAACCCAGUCUAGAAUUUUUUUUGGUUUGAAAAUAUUUCAAAUAUUGGCUUAGUCAUUUGCUAACAUUUUAGGAUAUAGGUAAUUGAAUUUGUACUGUACCAAUUAAUUUACAGUGUGUUUCAGCUUUGAGUGUUUACCCUUUUAAAUCAUAGACUGUUAGUCAUAGUUGUCUUUAAAACUGCUUAAUAAAUGUAAAUAUAACUCUUGACAUUUUUAAACAUAAAGGGAUUCUUCCCAGAUUAAAAUUGUUCCUAAUAUUAUUACUUUGUUUUUUGGAAGAGUAGAUAGUGCUCGUAUCUUACGUGGUACUGCACAAGUAGAGACCAGCUAACCUUAGGAUUCAGUAACCCAAAAGUUAAAUUCCAGACCCAAGAUUGUGUUGACUAGAAAUUUAUUUCUAAAUGUUUUUAAGAAAAAGCAAAGUUACUGGAGACUUUGAUAUUUGUACCUUUUGUUCUUUUUUUCCAAUGUCUUCUGGCAGUGUUAGGAAAAGGUGACCCUGUGUAAAUCAGAAAAUUGUAGUUGCUAGCUAGAUCAAGUAAAGCAUAAUCUUUGUCUCUGAAGACCACCAUUUGUUUCACCAUGGGUGCUGGUUUAGGUCCCAGACACCAGGUCGUAAUAUUAGAAUGGGAUGACUACAUGAAUCCUUAUUUGGAUCAAAGUACUGGUUUAUCUUGGGGUAAUUGAUUUUAAAUCACUCUAGCAAAUCUGCUACCUUACCUCACCAUAGAAUGGGCUGAAUCUAAUAAUUGUUGUAUCAUAUUCUGAAUAAAGUAAAUCUGAUUUAGAAUCUA
RNAcentral lists this long non-coding RNA (1074 nucleotides) under Homo sapiens (human). RNAcentral describes it as "novel transcript, sense intronic to NUP98". The record is from RNAcentral. Lineage: Eukaryota; Metazoa; Chordata; Mammalia; Primates; Hominidae.